RNAcentral lists this long non-coding RNA (253 nucleotides) under Solanum tuberosum (potato). RNAcentral's name for it is "long non-coding RNA (STUB_LNC007958)". Lineage: Eukaryota; Viridiplantae; Streptophyta; Magnoliopsida; Solanales; Solanaceae. The record is from RNAcentral.
AGUAGGAACUCUAUAGGGACCCCAAACAUCAACAUGCAAUAGUUGAAAACAUGCAGUAGUAGUAUUGCUCAAAGGAAAUGAUAGUCUGGCUUGCUUAGCCAAUGGACAUACAGUACAAAUGGUAGAAGAACUAGAUGGAAAAUGUUUGAAACAACUAAGUUUUCUGAUAGUAGAAACAGGCACAUGACCGAGUCUCUGAUGCCAAAGAGACAUAUCUAAGCUACAAGACUGAGAAGAAGAAACUGCAUUAGCU